AGAGUUUGAUCCUGGCUCAGAGUGAACGCUGGCGGCGUGCCUAAUACAUGCAAGUCGAACGAUGAAAUUUCUAGCUUGCUAGAAAUGGAUUAGUGGCGCACGGGUGAGUAACGCAUAGGUUAUGUGCCUCUUAGUUUGGGAUAGCCAUUGGAAACGAUGAUUAAUACCAGAUACUCCCUACGGGGGAAAGAUUUAUCGCUAAGAGAUCAGCCUAUGUCCUAUCAGCUUGUUGGUAAGGUAAUGGCUUACCAAGGCUAUGACGGGUAUCCGGCCUGAGAGGGUGAACGGACACACUGGAACUGAGACACGGUCCAGACUCCUACGGGAGGCAGCAGUAGGGAAUAUUGCUCAAUGGGGGAAACCCUGAAGCAGCAACGCCGCGUGGAGGAUGAAGGUUUUAGGAUUGUAAACUCCUUUUGUUAGAGAAGAUAAUGACGGUAUCUAACGAAUAAGCACCGGCUAACUCCGUGCCAGCAGCCGCGGUAAUACGGAGGGUGCAAGCGUUACUCGGAAUCACUGGGCGUAAAGAGCGCGUAGGCGGGAUAGUCAGUCAGGUGUGAAAUCCUAUGGCUUAACCAUAGAACUGCAUUUGAAACUACUAUUCUAGAGUGUGGGAGAGGUAGGUGGAAUUCUUGGUGUAGGGGUAAAAUCCGUAGAGAUCAAGAGGAAUACUCAUUGCGAAGGCGACCUGCUGGAACAUUACUGACGCUGAUUGCGCGAAAGCGUGGGGAGCAAACAGGAUUAGAUACCCUGGUAGUCCACGCCCUAAACGAUGGAUGCUAGUUGUUGGAGGGCUUAGUCUCUCCAGUAAUGCAGCUAACGCAUUAAGCAUCCCGCCUGGGGAGUACGGUCGCAAGAUUAAAACUCAAAGGAAUAGACGGGGACCCGCACAAGCGGUGGAGCAUGUGGUUUAAUUCGAAGAUACACGAAGAACCUUACCUAGGCUUGACAUUGAGAGAAUCCGCUAGAAAUAGUGGAGUGUCUAGCUUGCUAGACCUUGAAAACAGGUGCUGCACGGCUGUCGUCAGCUCGUGUCGUGAGAUGUUGGGUUAAGUCCCGCAACGAGCGCAACCCCCUUUCUUAGUUGCUAACAGGUCAUGCUGAGAACUCUAAGGAUACUGCCUCCGUAAGGAGGAGGAAGGUGGGGACGACGUCAAGUCAUCAUGGCCCUUACGCCUAGGGCUACACACGUGCUACAAUGGGGUGCACAAAGAGAAGCAAUACUGCGAAGUGGAGCCAAUCUUCAAAACACCUCUCAGUUCGGAUUGUAGGCUGCAACUCGCCUGCAUGAAGCUGGAAUCGCUAGUAAUCGCAAAUCAGCCAUGUUGCGGUGAAUACGUUCCCGGGUCUUGUACUCACCGCCCGUCACACCAUGGGAGUUGUGUUUGCCUUAAGUCAGGAUGCUAAACCAGCUACUGCCCACGGCACACACAGCGACUGGGGUGAAGUCGUAACAAGGUAACCGUAGGUGAACCUGCGGUUG
RNAcentral lists this ribosomal RNA (1483 nucleotides) under Helicobacter pylori. RNAcentral describes it as "bacterial SSU rRNA". It matches the Rfam family "Bacterial small subunit ribosomal RNA". The record is from RNAcentral. Lineage: Bacteria; Pseudomonadati; Campylobacterota; Epsilonproteobacteria; Campylobacterales; Helicobacteraceae. RNAcentral also lists the same sequence under 4 other names.